RNAcentral lists this long non-coding RNA (847 nucleotides) under Gallus gallus (chicken). Lineage: Eukaryota; Metazoa; Chordata; Aves; Galliformes; Phasianidae. The record is from RNAcentral.
GCUUUAUGAGUGGGAGCCACAGGACAGGGCAAGACAGAAACAGAAGUGAUGUAACAUUUAAUUGCAAUUACACACUAAGAAAAUGAUCAAACGUAUGAAUACUUUCCAAGAAGUCUCUGCUGCUUCAAAACAGACCUGACCAUGGGAAAACUGCUACAAACUUAUCCAUACACCCAUACAUCAGAGAAAAUUAGGUUGGGAAUGACCUCUUAUGUUAUAUGAAUUUAGUACAUUUUAGAUGAAAUGACCUGAAUCUGAAAGCACUUCAGCAACAAAUAACAUGAUAAAGGAGGUAUCUCCAGCACACCAAGAAGGCCAUAUGGAGGACCUUCUAGCCUGGAAGGACCAUUCAAACUACAGUGAUUCAAUACAAGAUGAUUAAGAUUAUUCAAUAAGUCCCUGUCAAAGAAAAGAUUGCAUUGCCACAGUAAAGACCUUAAUUAUUGAUGAACAAGAUCAGUUUCUUCAGCCUGUCUUCAUAAGAGAAGUGCUCCAGUCCUUGGAUCAUCUUUGUAGCCCUUCUCUGGAGCCUCUCCAAAACCUCCAUAUCUUUCCUGUAUUGGAGGCCCCAGACCUGGACACAGUACUCUAGACGGGGCCUCACAAGGGCAGAAUAGAGGGGAACAAUCAACUUCCUCACUCUGCCGGGUAUGCAUCUUCUGAUGGAAACAAGGAUACGAUUGGCCUUCUGGGAUGCAAGUGCACACUGAAAGAACAAUAUCCAUAAUAAUGAAUGACGUGCUAUGUUGUUAAUUCACAUUGAAGCAAAGCAAAAUAUAUAAAAAUAAACAUAAUUAUUUAAAUAUUUCAUUUAUUAACUUCCAGAACUUCACUGUAUUAGUACAUU